RNAcentral lists this ribosomal RNA (253 nucleotides) under uncultured bacterium. Its description in RNAcentral is "partial 16S ribosomal RNA". It matches the Rfam family "Bacterial small subunit ribosomal RNA", at positions 524 to 776 of the family's 1533-position model. The record is from RNAcentral.
GACGAACCGUGCAAACGUUGUUCGGAAUCACUGGGCUUAAAGGGCGCGUAGGCGGGUUCACAAGUCUGUGGUGAAAUCCUCCAGCUUAACUGGAGAAGUGCCGUGGAUACUGUGGACCUCGAGGAGGGUAGGGGCAUCUGGAACAUUGGGUGGAGCGGUGAAAUGCGUUGAUAUCGGGAGGAACAUCUGUGGCGAAGGCGACACCCUGGACCAGCACUGACACUGAGGCACGAAAGCGUGGGGAGCAAACAGG